GAUGAACGCUGGCGGCGUGCCUAAUACAUGCAAGUCGAGCGAACAGACGAGGAGCUUGCUCCUCUGACGUUAGCGGCGGACGGGGGAGUAACACGUGGAUAACCUACCUAUAAGACUGGGAUAACUUCGGGAAACCGGAGCUAAUACCGGAUAAUAUAUUGAACCGCAUGGUUCAAUAGUGAAAGAUGGUUUUGCUGUCACUUAUAGAUGGAUCCGCGCCGCAUUAGCUAGUUGGUAAGGUAACGGCUUACCAAGGCAACGAUGCGUAGCCGACCUGAGAGGGUGAUCGGCCACACUGGAACUGAGACACGGUCCAGACUCCUACGGGAGGCAGCAGUAGGGAAUCUUCCGCAAUGGGCGAAAGCUUGACGGAGCAACGCCGCGUGAGUGAUGAAGGUCUUCGGAUCGUAAAACUCUGUUAUUAGGGAAGAACAAAUGUGUAAGUAACUAUGCACGUCUUGACGGUACCUAAUCAGAAAGCCACGGCUAACUACGUG
Molecule: ribosomal RNA, 497 nt
Filed under: uncultured bacterium
Lineage: Bacteria
Description: partial 16S ribosomal RNA
Rfam family: Bacterial small subunit ribosomal RNA
Source: RNAcentral